AGCGAACGCUGGCGGCAGGCCUAACACAUGCAAGUCGAACGGAUCCUUCGGGAUUAGUGGCGGACGGGUGAGUAACACGUGGGAACGUGCCCUUUGGUUCGGAACAACUCAGGGAAACUUGAGCUAAUACCGGAUGUGCUCUUCGGGGGAAAGAUUUAUCGCCAUUGGAGCGGCCCGCGUCUGAUUAGCUAGUUGGUGAGGUAACGGCCCACCAAGGCGACGAUCAGUAGCUGGUCUGAGAGGAUGAUCAGCCACACUGGGACUGAGACACGGCCCAGACUCCUACGGGAGGCAGCAGUGGUGAAUCUUGCGCAAUGGGCGAAAGCCUGACGCAGCCAUGCCGCGUGAAUGAUGAAGGUCUUAGGAUUGUAAAAUUCUUUCAGCGGGGACGAUAAUGACGGUACCCGCAGAAGAAGCUCCGGCUAACUUCGUG
RNAcentral lists this ribosomal RNA (433 nucleotides) under uncultured bacterium. RNAcentral's name for it is "partial 16S ribosomal RNA". It matches the Rfam family "Bacterial small subunit ribosomal RNA", at positions 29 to 507 of the family's 1533-position model. The record is from RNAcentral.